RNAcentral lists this ribosomal RNA (229 nucleotides) under uncultured bacterium. Its description in RNAcentral is "partial 16S ribosomal RNA". It matches the Rfam family "Bacterial small subunit ribosomal RNA", at positions 107 to 334 of the family's 1533-position model. The record is from RNAcentral.
UGAGUAACACGUAUCCAACCUGCCGUCUACUCUUGGCCAGCCUUCUGAAAGGAAGAUUAAUCCAGGAUGGCAUCAUGAGUUCACAUGUCCGCAUGAUUAAAGGUAUUUUCCGGUAGACGAUGGGGAUGCGUUCCAUUAGAUAGUAGGCGGGGUAACGGCCCACCUAGUCUUCGAUGGAUAGGGGUUCUGAGAGGAAGGUCCCCCACAUUGGUACUGAGACACGGACCAA